UAGGGAAUCUUCGGCAAUGGGGGCAACCCUGACCGAGCAACGCCGCGUGAGUGAAGAAGGUUUUCGGAUCGUAAAGCUCUGUUGUAAGUCAAGAACGGGUGUGAGAGUGGAAAGUUCACACUGUGACGGUAGCUUACCAGAAAGGGACGGCUAACUACGUGCCAGCAGCCGCGGUAAUACGUACGUCCCGAGCGUUGUCCGGAUUUAUUGGGCGUAAAGCGAGCGCAGGCGGUUUGAUAAGUCUGAAGUUAAAGGCUGUGGCUCAACCAUAGUUCGCUUUGGAAACUGUCAAACUUGAGUGCAGAAGGGGAGAGUGGAAUUCCAUGUGUAGCGGUGAAAUGCGUAGAUAUAUGGAGGAACACCGGUGGCGAAAGCGGCUCUCUGGUCUGUAACUGACGCUGAGGCUCGAAAGCGUGGGGAGCGAACAGG
This 429-nucleotide ribosomal RNA is filed under the name Bacillota bacterium. RNAcentral's name for it is "Firmicutes bacterium partial 16S ribosomal RNA". It matches the Rfam family "Bacterial small subunit ribosomal RNA", at positions 355 to 776 of the family's 1533-position model. Lineage: Bacteria; Bacillati; Bacillota. The record is from RNAcentral.